Molecule: long non-coding RNA, 9790 nt
Filed under: Triticum aestivum (bread wheat)
Lineage: Eukaryota; Viridiplantae; Streptophyta; Magnoliopsida; Poales; Poaceae
Description: long non-coding RNA (TAES_LNC004536)
Source: RNAcentral
GGCAGUCUCAGGGUCUACCGAAAAGAAGUAACGGAGGGGGAACAUAAUAAAUAACAAAGCAUCACAAAAACGUAACAUGGCAAACGCGGUGCUAGAUGUGCCCUAACGCAGUACUGGGCUAUACUGGCGAAGGGGGAACACCCGGGAAAGUAUUCCCGGUGUUUCGCGUUUUCGGACAGAUGAACUAGAGAGGGAAAGUUGCGUGUUUGCUAUGCUAGGGUUGUGUGGCAGACGAACGGGAUGCAUACUCGGAUUCGUCUCGUCGUUCUGAGCAACUUUCAUGUAUAAAUUAUUUUCAUCCGAGCUACGGAUUAUUUUAUAUUAAUUUUUAAAAUUUAAUUCAUUUUCUAGAAAUUACUGGAUUUAAUUUAAUUCGAAAUUAUAACAGUAAUUAUUUUUGUCUCCUAGUGUUAUUCUAGCCUAUGAGUAUGCCAGUGGGGCCAGUGGGGUGGGUUGACCUAGUCAAAGAUUGAAUAGUCAAAGGAUGAAUAGUGUAGGCUGGUCCCAUAUGCCAUUGUCUCAAAUGUUAAUAAAACAACUCACUAAUUUAAUCAAGGGGGAGUCCCACAUGUCAUCUACUAGUAGAUAACCUAACUACUAAUUAAUCCUAAACUAAUUGGACAUGGCUGGCCACACACACAGAAAACACAUACGCACACACACGGAACACAUAGCUAGGGGUUACUUCUGUUCCCUGUUAACACAACAAAGCAUUUUGCAAUUUUCAUAGGAUUUAAUCCAAGCAUCGAAAGGAUUUAGUCCAGUGGGAUAAAAUGGAGUUUGUCAUGUAUACUUUCUACUCAUAUUAUUUUUACUCAUGUUAGCACUUGAUUAGUUGUUGUUUAGGGGCUGUCCAGAGAGUUACUCAAUGUAAUAUUGGUAAAGCUAGUUGCAUCUACAGUAGUUAGCAGCAGCAGCAGUACAGCAAGCAGGUGGCUGGACAAGGGUGCGUGGUUGCGCGGGCGCAGGCCAGGCGAGGCCAGGGCGGCUGGGUCGCAGCCGGCAGCAGUGCGCGAGCACGGCGCGCGACGUGAGCAGCAGGGAAGAGGAGGCAGCGGCAGUGUUAGCAGCAGAACGCAGAAGCAGCGGUGACAGAGUGCGGGAGGCUGGGUGAGGCCAUGCACGGGCUCUGGGCUGUCCAGGCGGCCGGAGCACGACGACAGCGCGUCCAGGAGGCGGCUGGGCGUGGCCACGAGCACGAGGCGGUCGCGGGCGAGCACGAGGCGGGCGCAGGUUGCUCGGAUGAGGCGCGCGGGCGUGGGGUGGGCGGAGGCGGCCUACGGCGGGGGCUUCGGCGACAGGGGCGAGGGGGAAAAGCGGGGGACGGUGGUGGCUCAUCCCGGGGAGGUCGGGGCGCGCUCGGGGUGGACGGGGCGGCGCUUGAGCGGCGGUUCCGACGAAGAUGACCGGCGGCAGAGGUUGAUGGAGGGCUCGAUCCCGUUGAUGGAGAGGGCCUCGGCUUGAGCCGAAGGGCGGAGCCGACGUGGAUGACGACGGUGGUCCUCCGGGACGUCUCUGUGAGGCGCGGGGUGGAUGGAGGCCGCGGGAUCGAUGGCGCCACGGCGCCAGAGGCGUUCGGGAGAGAGUGAAAGGGAGUGAGGGAGGGAGUGGUUGGUGCUAGGGUUAGGAGGGGAUCGAGGGAGGGAGCCUGCGAUGUUAAGUAGGGCGAGGGGGCGCGGAUGUGCGCCACGACGCCAUGGUGUCCGUGGAUGUGCUCCACGAUGCCCCUGCUACAGGUUGAAGGAGGGAGAGAUGGGCUAACCUGGGUAAGUUGCUAGAUGGGCCAAAAGUGCCCAGUAUCUCAGGUCUUUUGUUUUGUUCUAUUUUUUUGUUUCUGUUAUUUUAGUUUUUAUUAAUACCAAGUUAGCACCUAAAUUAGUAUCAUCAAAUAUAUCACUGCCACCUUAAUUUAUUACCCAAGCUAAAAUAGUUUCAUAAUUAUUUAAUAUUUAAAAGUACUUAAAUAAUAGUUUUUGCUACUGUUUUAUUCACCUUAUAGUAUUUAAACAUUUUAUAAAGGUGUGGUUUCUCCACCAUAAUUUCCUAUGAAAUAUUUGGUUCACUCCGAACAUUAUAGUUUUAAUAUUUGAAAAGUUUUAUUGUCUGCUUGAUUUUGAUUUUGAAUUUGAAUCGGUUUCGAACUAACGCGAGUUUAUCAAUAGUAACCGAGGUGAUGUGGCAUCAUUAGCAUAGGUUACUGUAGCUUAAUUAUCCGGGCGUCACAAUUCUCCUCUCCUACAAGAAAUCUCGUCCCGAGAUUUAAGAGGGGAGUAAGGGGGAAGAAUAGGUUACGAAAUUCCAAUGAUUCUUCCCGGUCUUGGUUGCUCUUCUUGAGGAGGUCGAUCCAUUACAUUGUUGUCUUCAUUUCUCUGCUUCAAGUCCUCAUGAUGAAGUCGUCAUCCUUUCUUCAGGAACUCCAUCGUACUUACGAAAGGAUAGGAGAGAAAACUACAAGGACAGAUGCGUGCAAGGACUGAUAUUCGGUAAUUAGCUCAGGGAUUUUGGCCCAAGCUAUCUCUCGAGUUGAAACUUAGGAGAACAUUGAGAGCAAAGUAAGAAGGUACAAUAAGGAGUUUCAAGCGGAUAGGCAAUCAUUCGAUGCCUGAACGUAGUGUGAAGGGGUUCAGAGCAACGGGAAAUAAGUAUGGUGUCAGAUACCCGAAUUGAUGAUUUCUCGGAAGGUGGCUCGUGAAUUACAUACGAAGCCAAACCUAAGGAAAACAGUGGCGUACAGGAGAGUUAGGUUUCGAUCCUGUGGAACUGUGGGUUAUGGGCCCACCAUGUGGGUUAAAAGUAGGAGCGGUGACAUCUUGCACGGUCGUGAAAGCAAGGCAUGUCUGAGGGUAGCCUGUCAGUUAUGUUGGCAACAACGUCGGUACCAAGGGCGAGGGACAAAGAGAACCAUUUUCGUGCUCGAUGAAACGAGGCGGACCAAUAGGCAAAGUUCUCAUCCAUCGGUGGCUACCGAAAUGUCAUCAACAAUAGUAAUAGGGUCUUGCUGACAGAAUUGUACACCGAGGUGUUUACAUAAGCAUGAGAAUAUUACUGCUUAGAUCAUAUAGACCUCAAGAAAGGUUAAACCAAACAAUGGAAAGGAUAGUGUGUUUAAACACAUGUUUCAGGGGUACAUCCUUUCCCAGGACAAGCAGAGCAUGAUAUCCAUGACAGGAUAGAAGUAGAAAACCUUUUAGGUAAGGGGAGAGGAAAUUGAUGACAUUACCCAAACAACGGUGUUUGGAUAAUUGAUGAAGAAAAUUUAGCAUUGUGCUUCAAAUGUUCUUGUUGAUGAACAAAGUACCACAAACAUGCUUCGAGAUAGCAUUGACAUGGUCACUGGGUAAAUAUCAGACUUUGGACACAUAAUGGAUCCAUCUGGAACAACUCAUAGAAUAAGUCUUACCAUUUUCUCAUGGAAGAAUGGAUAACCUUGUUGAAAAGGAAACUAUAUCAAUAGGGCCUCCGGCCAGGUGUGCUAGGCAUGACAUCACCUUACCGGGUCAUGUAAAUAUGUUAUAACUCCUGGAAAUAUGUUCCAACCAUCAUUUCUGACUGAGAUUCAGAUCUGAUUGGUGUCAGGAUACCUCAGACUCAGCAUGUCUGAGAAGAAAAGGUGCAACACAAAUUGACGAGAUGACAUUGUAAGAUUCUCGGGAAAUGAACUAUGGAAGAGAGUUCUGAAACAAGAGUUCAUCAUUAAAACAAGGAGAGGAUGAGGAGGUGGCUGACGGACUCAGCGGCUAUUCAUCGAGAUUAACAAAAGAAGGAUUUCCACAAUGAUGUGAACAAGGAUUUAACACUUGUCAGAUCAAACGAUAUAAUGAUGUAUGCUCGAGGAAAACAUACACAAUUAAACAUUGGUUGAAAGGUGCACCCGAAAUAUGGGUUGGGUUGCACGACCAACGUCAGAAUGGUGAUUCAAUAAUCAAUAGUCUAAGAAUGAAUGACCGGCCUUUAACUUCAAAGCAAUAGGAUUGCUAGAAGGGCAGAAUCCAAACAGCACCGUUCACUUGUUGGUACCCCGUUAGGAAUCAACUCAAGGACCAAGAAAGAAUGGUGAUGGUGAGAAGUAUCACUAUACCAAGAAUUCUUCAGAGGUGGAGCAAUCCUGACAACACCCUUGUCAUAAAAGACAGUAAUACUUCAAGGUAGAACAUCAUACAAGCUGGAUAGCAAGUUGCAUCCAUAACAUGAACAAGUUUGUGUUGGGGAAGGCAAGAAUGUUUUUGCUGAUAACACAAUCAUCGAGGGACAAGGAUGGUAUUUCCCAUCAUGAAUUUGAUUGAUAUCCUGGAAACGCUCAGAGUGUUGAUUACGAUCACGGCACAUUUGUCGAGAGGUUUCAUGAAGAUGUAAUCGGUCGGCGAUGACAUCAAGUCAAAGGAAUGAUGAAGCAAAAGUUUAUUGGAACCAUGGGUACGACACAAACUUGAAAUCAAGUUUGUUGUUCAAGGAGAAAUGAUAUGAUGAGAAAGAUUGACAUAAGAUUAGCUCACCGUCGAAAAGUUGUGCUCCGGGAAGGACCAAGUAGCACAAUUAAAAUUAGCACGGUAAUGAUGUAGCCGAACAGGCUAGGAAUGACGUGAUCGGGUACAAACUCGUAAGUAAAGAAGAUUACUAAAAGUUGUUGAACCAUAGUGCGGACUCGGUUCAGUUAUCGGUGUCUUUGAGUGUUUAAUAACUCAGAGCCCGUGAAAAAUUGGAAUCAGUGAGAAUGUAGUACUUGAUGAAGAACUCAUAAGAAGUUAUGCAGUUCCGUGAUAAUCUCGAGAUACCAGGGCAGUAAUACUCGACGACAGAUCAAAGUAGAGGUUGGGAAGGCGUACUGAUCUGCAGAAGGCAAGUACUUUAACUUGUCCGAGAAAUAGAAUCAAAGGAGAACAAUCAUGGCCGGAACCACGGUUGCAAAGGAUCAAUUCACAUAUACCAGAUGAUAUUUAUCAAGGAAAUAGUUAUUAUUACAAGAAGUUUCCAUGAUAGGAUCUACAUCAUGUCCAUGGGCAUGAAUACAAAAUUCAAGGUCGACUCCCACUUCUCGACUGCAUUACCUUUCAUUCACUUCUCGUCUUCGACAAAGUUGUAGUGUUGAAGUUUUAUCUAACAUAACAACAGUAGAGUAUGACCUGUAGUAGUUUCCGGGUUCACAUAGAUUAGAAAAGGCAUAGGUUCAAUCCAUCGGGGCAUCUUAGGAACAUAUACCACAAACUUCGGCGUAAAUAAUACAGGCUCGAAAGUAUAGCAUGGGUGACAAAAGGAGAGGAUACAAUUUACCGAAGGCAUUAUGUAUCAGGGAAAGAACUCACAAGAUUUGAAUGUGAAUGAUACCAACGGAUAACAACCCGGCAAUGGGCCUGGCGGUCCACAACGGAGCUGACGUGAGUAUCGGUACUCAAUCAGAGGAAGAAAGAUGCAAAGGCAUCAGAUUAUGCAAACAUCCGAAUACUUCGAUGUUUUAAUAAUCAAAGAAAUUAUGAAUUCCAGAUCGGUGUAUCAGGAUCAGAUGCCCUGAUCAAUUACGAGUAAGAUGAAUAGACUUAGAGGCACAAUCUGUCAAUGUUUGAUUGGCGGAAAAUCAGCUCAUAUCUGGAAUGACAUCUGAGCCAGAAAGAUAACUCCUAAGGAUCAGCUAAUGAUUAUGAGCAAUCACACACGUAUUGAAUCGAGGGACUCAAGAUGAUAAUGACAAAUGACGUCAAGGAAUAUUGCUAGGCAUAUGGAAUUAACCACAAUGUAGCAGGCAAGAAGAAUCUCAUAAGCACUAAGUUGUCAAGGACUCUUGGAAGAUCAAAUGGCAUUUCAAAUUAUGUUGCGAAACACAUGAACAACUGGGGAUGAAUGAAUUCCAGGUAAUUGUGAGGAAUUAUCCGUACAUGUAUUUGUGCGGAAAAGGAACUGCAAGGCCGUAAGCAUAAAGGAUUCUCGGAACAUCAGAAAGUAUUUCAGGGCAUCUUGUAAUAACAAGAGCAACUGGGGAUGAAGGUAUGACUGAGAAGUUAUCCAUAGAGGUGCUCGGUGGUGGUGAAUUUGCAAAGGCGGUGGGCACAAGUGUCUCGGUAAAACAUCGAAUAGCUUCUUCGAAAACUUCUGGUCCACCAGGCGAUCAUCUGUAAUAAGGGGCUCUCCGGGUGGAAGUAGUUACGAGAACCUAGAGUCAGCUUUAGUAAAAUCAUUUAACACGAAUAGAAGAGAGAUCAGAGGCCCAGAGUAUAGGUCGAGAAAUAAAAGAUCCUAAUACCACCCAAUGGCGACGUGGGCCCGUAAGGCACACAAGUAUGUUAGUAAAAGUUUUGUACUAUCUAGACUCGACUUCGGCCAAGGUGUGUGGAAGGGGGAUUCCUACAGGCAGUCGGCUCUGAUACCAACUCGUGAUGCCCCCGAUUUGACAGUACACUAAUCAUGCAAGCAAACGUGUACGAUCAAGAUCAGGGACUCACGGGAAGAUAUCACAACACAACUCUAAAACAUAAAUAAGUCAUACAAGCAUCAUAAUACAAGCCAGGGGCCUCGAGGGCUCGAAUACAAGUGCUUGAUCAUGGACGAGUCAGCGGAAGCAACAAUAUCUGAGUACAGACAUAAGUUAAACAAGUUUGCCUUAAGAAGGCUAGCACAAACGGGGAUACAGAUCGAAAGAGGCGCAGGCCUCCUCCCUGGGAUCCUCCUAACUACUCCUGGUCGUCGUCAGCGGGGUGCACGUCAUAGUAGGCACCUCCGGGGUAGUAGGAGUCAUCGUCGACGGUGGCGUCUGGCUCCUGGGCUCCAGCAUCUGGUUGCGACAACCAGGUAGAAAGGAAAGGGGGAAAAGAGGGAGAAAAGCAACUGUGAGUACUCAUCCAAAGUACUCGCAAGCAAGGAGCUACACUACAUAUGCAUGGGUAUAUGUAUAAAGGGCCAUAUCGGUGGACUGAACUGCAGAAUGCCAGAAUAAGAGGGGGGUAGCUAAUCCUGUCAAAGACUACGCUUCUGGCCACCUCCAUCUUGCAGCACGUAGAAGAGAGUAGAUUGAAGUUCACCAAGUAGCAUCGUAUAGCAUAAUCCUACCCGGCGAUCCCCUCCUUGUCGCCCUGUUAGAGACCGAUCACCGGGUUAUAUUUGGCACUUGGAAGGGUGUGUUUUAUUAAGUAUCCAGUUCUAGUUGUCAUAAGGUGAAGGUACAACUCCGGGUCGUCCUUUUACCGAGGGACACGGCUAUUCGAAUAGAUAAAGUUCCCUGCAGGGGUGCACCACAUAACCCAACAUGCUCGAUCCCAUUUGGCCGGACACACUUUCCUGGGUCAUGCCCGGCCUCGGAAGAUCAACACGUCGCAGCCCCACCUAGGCUCAACAGAGAGGUCAGCACGCCGGUCUAAAUCCUAUGCGCGCAGGGGUCUGGGCCCAUCGCCCAUUGCACACCUGCACGUUGCGUACGCGGCCGGAAGCAGACCUAGCCUAGCAGGCGUUCCAGUCCAAUCCGGCGCGUGCCGCUCCAUCGCUGACGUCAAGAAGAGCUUCGGCUGAUACCACGACGUCGAGUGCCCAUAACUGUUCCCGCGUAGUUGGUUAGUGCGUAUAGACCAAAUGGCCAGACUCAGAUCAAAUACCAAGAUCUCGUUAAGCGUGUUAAGUAUCCGCGAACGCCGACCAGGGCCAGGCCCACCUCUCUCCUAGGUGGUCUCAUCCUGCCCUGUCGCUCCGCUACAAAGUAACAGUCGGGGGCUGUCAGGAACCCAGGCCCACCUCUACCGGGAUGAAGCCACCUGUCCUUUCAGCCCCCUCAUCAGAAUCACUUGCGGGUACUCAACGAGCCGACCCGACUUUAGUCACCACAUGUGUCAUGUAUAUAAAGUAUAUAGUAUAUACCCGUGAUCACCUCCCGAAGUGAUCACGGCCCAGUAGUAUAGCAUGGCAGACGGACAAGAGUGUAGGGCCACUGAUGGAACACUAGCAUCCUAUACUAAGCAGUAGGAUAGCAGGUAAGGUUAACAACUGUAGCAACAAUGACAGGCUAUGCAUCAGGAUAGGAUUAACGGAAAGCAGUAACAUGGUACACUACUCUAAUGCAAGCAGUAUAGAGAAGAAUAGGCGAUACCUGGUGAUCAAGGGGGGGGGGGGGCUUGCCUGGUUGCUCUGGCAAGGAGAGGUCGUCAACACCGUAGUCGAACUGGGGGUCGCCGGCAGUCUCAGGGUCUACCGGAAAGAAGUAACAGAGGGGGAACAUAAUACAUAACAAAGCAAUCAAAGCAUCAGAAAAACGUAACAUGGCAAACGCGGUGCUAGAUGUGCCCUAACGCAGUACUAGGCUAUACUGGCGAAGGGGGAACACCCGGGAAAGUAUUCCCGGUGUUUCGCGUUUUCGGACAGAUGAACCGGAGAGGGAAAGUUGCAUGUUUGCUAUGCUAGGGAUGUGUGGCAGACGAACGGGAUGCAUACUCGGAUUCGUCUCGUCGUUCUGAGCAACUUUCAUGUAUAAAUUAUUUUCAUCCGAGCUACGGAUUAUUUUAUAUUAAUUUUUAAAAUUUAAUUCAUUUUCUAGAAAUUACUGGAUUUAAUUUAAUUCGAAAUUAUAACAGUAAUUAUUUUGGUCUCCUAGUGUUAUUCUAGCCUAUGAGUAUGCCAGUGGGGCCAUUGGGGUGGGUUGACCUAGUCAAAGAUUGAAUAGUCAAAGGAUGAAUAGUGUAGGCUGGUCCCAUAUGGCAUUGUCUCAAAUGUUAAUAAAACAACUCACUAAUUUAAUCAAGGGGGAGUCCCACAUGUCAUCUACUAGUAGAUAACCUAACUACUAAUUAAUACUAAACUAAUUGGACAUGGCUGGAAAUUAGUCAUGGCUGGCCACACACACAGAAAACACAUACGCACACACACGGAACACAUAGCUAGGGGUUACUUCUGUUCCCUAUUAACACAACAAAGCAUUUUGCAAUUUUCAUAGGAUUUAAUCCAGGCAUCGAAAGGAUUUAGUCCAGUGGGAUAAAAUGGAGUUUGUCAUGUAUUCUUUCUACUCAUAUUAUUUUUACUCAUGUUAGCACUUGAUUAGUUGUUGUUUAGGGACUGUCCAGAGAGUUACUCAAUGUAAUAUUGGUAAAGCUAGUUGCAUCUACAGUACUUAGCAGCAGCAGCAAUACAGCAAGCGGGUGGCUGGACAAGGGUGCGUGGUUGCGCGGGCGCAUGCCAGGCGAGGCCAGGGGCUGGGUCGCAGCCGGCAGCAAUGCGCGAGCAUGGCGCGCGAUGUGAGCAGCAGGGAAGAGGAGGCAGCAGCAUUGUUAGCAGCAGAACGCAGAAGCAGUGGUGACAGGGUGCGGGAGGCUGGGUGAGGCCACGCACAGCUCUGGGCUGUCCAGGCGGCCGGAGCACGACGACAGCGCGUCCAGGAGGCGGCUGGGCGUGGCCACGAGCACGAGGCGGUCGCGGGCGAGCACGAGGCGGGCGCAGGUUGCCCGGGUGAGGCGCGCGGGAGUGGGGUUGGCGGAGGCGGCCUACGGCGGGGGCUUCGGCGACAGGGGCGAGGGGGAAAAGCGGGGAACGGUGGUGGCUCACCCCGGGGAGGUCGGGGCGCGCUCGGGGUGGACGGGGCGGCGCUUGAGCAGCGGUUCCGACGAAGAUGACCGGCGGCAGAGGUUGAUGGAGGGUUCGAUCCCGUUGAUGGAGAGGGCCUCGGCUUGAGCCGAAGGGCGGAGCCGACGUGGACGACGACGGUGGUCCUCCUUGACGUCUCCGUGAGGCGCGGGGUGGAUGGAGGCCGCGGGAUCGACGGCGCCGCGGCGCCAGAGGCGUUCGGGAGAGAGUGAAAGGGAGUGAGGGAGGGAGUGGUUGGUGCUAG